GGCGAGGUUCCCUGUCCGUUAUCCAUGGGGGCACUCGAUCAUGCUGUGGGGCCUAGUUCAGUUUGGCCCUUAGACGCAUGUCGUCAAGAGCAUGGUGUGAGGGAGGGUUCGAUGCCC
Molecule: non-coding RNA, 117 nt
Filed under: Neobacillus jeddahensis
Lineage: Bacteria; Bacillati; Bacillota; Bacilli; Caryophanales; Bacillaceae
Description: epsC RNA
Rfam family: epsC RNA
Source: RNAcentral